This 2444-nucleotide small RNA is filed under the name Pan troglodytes (chimpanzee). Its description in RNAcentral is "retained intron". The record is from RNAcentral. Lineage: Eukaryota; Metazoa; Chordata; Mammalia; Primates; Hominidae.
ACGUGCUUAGGAGCCAUAUUGUCGCUGGUGGCCGCUGGGGCUGGGAGGGGUGUGCUAGAGAGGCGCAGCUUCUCUGGGCGUGGUUUUUAUCCUGGGGGAAGGAUCGGUGGAAUGUGAGGGGAGGUGGAGGAGAUGGCGGCGACGGCCCGGGAAGAUGGCGCCGGCGGUCAAGAGCGAGGUCAGCGGGGCUGCGAGCACUAUGACAGAGGAUGUCUCCUAAAGGCACCUUGCUGUGACAAGCUUUAUACUUGCCGCUUGUGUCAUGAUAACAAUGAAGAUCAUCAACUAGAUCGCUUUAAAGUGAAGGAAGUGCAGUGCAUAAACUGUGAAAAAAUUCAACAUGCCCAACAGACUUGUGAAGAAUGUAGCACAUUGUUUGGAGAAUAUUAUUGCGAUAUAUGCCAUUUGUUUGACAAAGAUAAGAAGCAGUAUCACUGUGAAAACUGUGGAAUUUGUAGGAUUGGUCCAAAGGAAGAUUUUUUCCAUUGUUUGAAAUGUAACUUAUGCCUAGCUAUGAAUCUUCAAGGAAGACACAAGUGUAUUGAAAAUGUGUCUCGACAGAAUUGUCCAAUAUGUUUGGAGGACAUUCACACAUCCCGUGUUGUUGCUCAUGUCUUGCCAUGUGGACAUCUUUUACAUAGGUAAAGUAACAUCUUUUUCUCAAUGAUGUUUGAAAAUAGUGGAGACAGUUUUUGUUUUACUAAAAUAAUCUUAUAUUUUCUUUCAGAACGUGUUAUGAAGAAAUGUUGAAAGAGUGAGUGUUUGGGAUUUUAAAAAUAAUUGUAAGAUGUUUGAUUUUUUUGUGUGUGUGGUGUGGGGAGGUGGACAAACAUUGUUACUUAUACCAUAUUGGGCAUGGCAAUAUUUAUAUUGAAAUGGGUAGGGUAGAUGAAUAUUGUUAAAACAGGACAAAGUGUCUUGGAUAUAGAACUACACUUUUGCCAUAUGUUUCUCUUAAAUCUUGUCUCCUCCCACAAUUUGAGGUAGUUACCUCUUUUUUUUCUGGCCAUAUAUACCAGGAAGUGCAGUUUUUGCCAGAUGCAGUUAUAGUGUUGUAAAAAUGCUGAAAAAUAUUGCCAAAAAUUUGUUAGGUUGUUAUAUUGGCCAAGUAUAGUAAACUAAAAGAAAGUAGGUGAAGUGAUCAUUAAAGCUAAGACUUUAUUAAUGGAAAAGAUAUUAAAAUUAGAUGAAAAUAAUUGAAAAGAGAAGACUGUAUUUUGGUCCUACAUAUUGAUGAGCAAAAAUGUGAAGAGCUAGAGAGAGCAUUCUUUUUUUCAAAUUUUUAGAAAGGAAAUAAUAUCUGAAUAAUUUUAAACAAAUACAGUCUCUUUACAUGAGUGUAUUAAGAAAUUAAGGUUGUUUAGAUAAGGAGUAGCUUAAUUAGUUUAUAAAAAUAUAUGAAGUGUAUUCUACAAAGAAUAUGGACUAAUUCCUCUCCAUUUUAGAGUACUGAGGAAAAAGACUUAGUUUUAAAUAAGUAUACAGGAAUUAAUUUAAAAGUUUUAUAGUGUGAAAGUUCCCAGGUUCCUAAGAGAUUAUCUUGAAAUAGAGGAAAAUGCCUGUUUUGAAUGGUUCAUGUGGCAGUUAGCUUGCAUCUUCUUGUAUACCUGAAUUAAUAUAUUCUUUGUUUAAUAUUUGGAAAAUAACCUUUCUAUCUCUUUCAGAGGCUACAGAUGUCCAUUAUGUAUGCACUCUGCUUUAGAUAUGACCAGGUAUUGGAGACAGCUGGAUGAUGAAGUAGCACAGACUCCUAUGCCAUCAGAAUAUCAGAACAUGACUGUGGAUAUUCUCUGCAAUGACUGUAAUGGACGAUCCACUGUUCAGUUUCAUAUAUUAGGCAUGAAAUGUAAGAUUUGUGAAUCCUAUAAUACUGCUCAAGCUGGAGGACGUAGAAUUUCACUGGAUCAGCAAUGACGAGCCUACGCAGUACUGGAGAACUUGGCAUUUUCUGAUAUAGAAAAAGGCUUUCCUUGGUAUCGUGUUAUCAUGUGUUGUCAUCUAUGCAUUAGAGUUGAUGUGUUUUGUACUAGUGUCACAGCAUAAAAUCAUAGUGCAAGUACGUAAGGAUUCAGGGUCUCUUGAUAGACUUAUCAUAGCUCUAUAUUGAAUGAAAGCCACUGUGCUUGUGUUUUGAUUGGAAAUACCUUUAGUGUCAGUAUUUUGGAAGCCAAUGAUGUUUGCCACUGAUACAUUCAUAGAAGUGUAUUAUAUUUUCAUGAAACUUUGCUUUAAGUGACACUACGCACGCAGUUCAUUUCUAGUUCUUGAUAGAACUGCACUUAAUUUUCAGUAGUAGUCUUGACUUUUUAAGGGCUGUGUUAUAUUAAGUUCUCCCUUACUGUUAAAACCUAAUUAAAUAUGCUUUAGAAUUUUCUAAGACAGUCCUCUGGAUCCUCUAAAUGUGAAUUUUGAUGUAAUAACUGCUAAUAAAAUUAUAUUGAAAC